CACCUUUGACAUGUACGGAACUUACCAGAGAUGGUUUGGUGCUCGAAAGAGAGCCGUAACA
This 61-nucleotide ribosomal RNA is filed under the name uncultured organism. RNAcentral describes it as "partial 16S ribosomal RNA". The record is from RNAcentral.